This 111-nucleotide small RNA is filed under the name Marmota monax (woodchuck). Lineage: Eukaryota; Metazoa; Chordata; Mammalia; Rodentia; Sciuridae. The record is from RNAcentral.
GCCAGGCACGCUGGCGUGUGCCUGUCAUCCCAGCAGCUCAGGAGGCUGAGGCAGGAGGAUCAGCCUCAGCAAUGGCGAGGCACUAAGAACCUCAGUGGGACCCUGUCUCUA